Molecule: unclassified non-coding RNA, 366 nt
Filed under: soil metagenome
Description: partial contains 5.8S ribosomal RNA, internal transcribed spacer 2, and large subunit ribosomal RNA
Rfam family: 5.8S ribosomal RNA (bases 1-120)
Source: RNAcentral
GAUGAAGAACGUAGCGAAAUGCGAUAAGUAAUGCGAAUUGCAGAAUUCAGUGAAUCAUCGAAUGUUUGAACGCACAUUGCGUCCGCCAGUAUUCUGGCGGGCAUGCCUGUCUGAGCGUCAUUUCAACCCCUCGCAGCCGGUUCGCGUUCGCGCGCCCGGGGGCGGUGUUGGAGAUCGGCCGCCCCUCGCGGGUGGCCGGCUCCCAAAUCCAGUGGCGACCGCGCCGUAGCCUCCUCUGCGUAGUAGUAACUCACCUCGCGAGUCGGAGAGCGGCGCGGAUCCUGCCGUAAAACCCCCAACUUCACAAGGUUGACCUCAGAUCAGGUAGGAAUACCCGCUGAACUUAAGCAUAUCAUAAGCGGAGGA